UUUCCAUAUGUACUAGAGCGAAAGGGGCCCUAAUCUUAUUACUUCUCAUAUGAAAAAUCUCAUUUCACCAAAGCAAUGCUACCAAGUGCUACACUAUCCACAUUCUUGAUACCAAUCCUCUUCCUCUUCAUCACACCACCAACAAAUGCCGAUGCCGCUGCCGCUGCCACCGCCCCUCGGUUCCGGGAAGCCCCCAAAUUCUACAACUCGGCUCGCUGCCCCACCCUCUCCCCGUCCCCCUCCGACCCCAAUGCGAUCCACGUGGCCAUGACCCUCGACGCCGCCUACCUCCGCGGCUCCAUCGCGGCCAUCCUCUCCGUCCUCCAACACUCCUCCUGCCCCGAAAACAUCGCCUUCCACUUCGUCUCCUCCUCCUCCCCCGACCUCUCCUCCACCCUCUCCUCCACCUUCCCCUACCUCCACUUCCACAUCUACCCCUUCGACUCCUCCUCCGCCGCCGGCCUCAUCUCCACCUCCAUCCGCGCCGCCCUCGACUGCCCCCUCAACUACGCCCGCAACUACCUCGCCGACCUCCUCCCCUCCUCCCUCACCAAAAUCGUCUACCUCGACUCCGACCUCGUCCUCGUCGACGACAUCGCCAAGCUCGCCGCCACCCCUCUCCCCGACCCCGCCGUCCUCGCCGCCCCCGAAUACUGCAACGCCAACUUCACCUCCUACUUCACCCCCACCUUCUGGUCCAACCCCUCCCUCUCCCUCACCUUCGCCAACCGCCGCCCCUGCUACUUCAACACCGGCGUCAUGGUCAUCGACCUCCGCCGCUGGCGACAAGGCGGCUACACCACCAAAAUCGUCGAGUGGAUGGAGCUCCAGAAGCGAAUCAGGAUCUACGAGCUCGGCUCCCUCCCCCCCUUCCUCCUCGUCUUCGCCGGAAACAUCGCCCCCGUCGACCACCGCUGGAACCAGCACGGCCUCGGAGGAGACAACUUCCGAGGCCUGUGCCGCGACCUGCACCCCGGCCCAGUCAGCCUGCUGCACUGGUCCGGGAAGGGCAAGCCGUGGGCCCGCCUCGACGCCAACCGCCCUUGCCCUCUCGAUGCCCUCUGGGCUCCUUACGAUUUGCUACGCACUCCGUAUAUUCUUGAAUCUUAAGGAUUUUGAGGGAUGCAAGAGAGAUGUGAGAUCUUGAGAGGUUGAGAUCCUGCUCUGUUGUAUGUGAAUUGUGAGAGUAGUAUAGGGCGGUUAGGAGAUGAAUAUGAUGCAAAGAUAAAUGAGUAAUGUCUCGCAGGAGGAAAGAAGCAUUAUUUGAGAUGAAACUAGGAGUCAAAGUAUGAAAAAGGGGUCGAAAUCGAAGGCAUUAAUAAACCAUGCUUUAAUUACAAUGCAAAAGUAUUAUCAAAAUUAAUACGCAAGUGGCCCUAAAGGAGUUCCCAUCAUUGAUGAGUGACGGUGAGAUUGAUUGAAUGGCAUGUGCGAUUUUGUUGUGUAAUAGUAAAUCGAAAGGGAAAUUAUUGAAUAAGAUACUAUUCAAAUUAUAUUUUUCCUUUGAAAAAUGAUGUUUAAGUGAAUGUGGGCUCAAACCACACAUGGCUCACACAACCACUACUAAAUGAGGCACCAAUUCCAUGUUCA
Salvia hispanica is the source of this 1590-nucleotide non-coding RNA. The record is from RefSeq and is a predicted model, not a curated record. NCBI's taxonomy places the organism in Eukaryota, Viridiplantae, Streptophyta, Magnoliopsida, Lamiales, Lamiaceae.